RNAcentral lists this long non-coding RNA (752 nucleotides) under Phoenix dactylifera (date palm). RNAcentral's name for it is "long non-coding RNA (PDAC_LNC010602)". Lineage: Eukaryota; Viridiplantae; Streptophyta; Magnoliopsida; Arecales; Arecaceae. The record is from RNAcentral.
UGGAGGCGGAACAGGGGAAGAAGAUGGAGUUGAUCACGAAAAGGAUGGGAUCUGUGCUCAAACAUGGACGCGGCUGAAUCUGGGAAGUUUGGACGCAGAAGGAGAUAAGGAUGCUGGGAGAUGAUUACGGACGCAAGGGAAAAUCUGGGAAUGAUUCAGUUUGAAGUUUUUAUGCAGCUAGGAACAGGCCAUCGGCUCUGUUCUUUGGACGUGGAGGUUUGGAUUUAUCCGGACGAUGGCUGACCGUGGGAAGCUGGGAGGAUGCGUUUGGUUAUCGUGAAGCUCAGGAGGAUGAAGUCUGGGAAUCGGCUGAAGAGCUGAUCCAGAAGAUGCUUGGUGGUUCUUCGGAUGGGAUGAUGGCUCUAUUCCUUGGGAGGAUGAGCUCGGGAAGGACGUGGAGGAGAUCGUGGAGAACAGGGGAUGUUUCGGUUCUGGAUGAAUGUCAUGGAACAAGGGAGUUGGAACCAUUUGAGCAGAGGAGAUGCUGGGAUUCGGGUUCACUGGCUUGAUCCGAAGGAUAGUGUUGCCCAAAAAGACAACCCAAGAGGGGGGGGGGUGAAUUGGGUUUUAAAUAAUAAUUGCAAAUUAGAAACUUAAUGAGUAACUAAUUAAACUUUUUGCAAGUGGAUUAAUUAGUUUACUAUAUGCAGUGGAUGAGGGAAAUGGGAGAGACAAUAAAACAAUCACAAACACAAGAGAUUUUAUAGUGGUUCGGAGCUAACCCUUGCUCCUACGUCCACUCCCCAAGCAUC